CGGUUCCAUGUCCAGAAGGCACCUUCCGUCCUCUGGAAAGUCUUCCUCCACAUCAAUGUUUGCAUUGCCCUGUGGAUUUCUUCAGUGAUAAACCCGGCCAGUCGGCUUGCUUUCCAUGCGGCUCCGAAGCCGUCCAACCCAAAGAAGGCCAAACGGUUUGCAAAUGCCUUCGGAAAGGUCGGAUUUUCCAGCCUAGUGAUGCUCAAUGCCCAUGCGCUCCUGGUUAUAGAAACCCAACCAAUGACAGGAGAUGGGACUGCGUGAAGGAAGUAUACGACAUCUGCCGGGAUGGAGCAGUCCGAAACCAAGAAGGAGUGUGCUUGACCAAAGAAGGAUGGACACAAUACUGUACAGACAAGAUUUGCACCCAUCCUCAAGACUUCCAGGGAUACGACAGAGUCCUUGGACUUUGCCUUUGCAAAGCAGACCAUCUGGACAGCGUCUGCAAUGACCGAUGCAGACGGCGGCAAAGGAACGUCUUGCAAUUGGUCUGUGACCAGGAUCCGCUUCGUCUGUCAGUGACUUACAGAAAUGG
This is a long non-coding RNA of Anolis sagrei ordinatus, 535 nucleotides long. RefSeq lists it as uncharacterized. NCBI's taxonomy places the organism in Eukaryota, Metazoa, Chordata, Lepidosauria, Squamata, Anolidae. The record is from RefSeq and is a predicted model, not a curated record.